Haliotis rubra (blacklip abalone) is the source of this 1003-nucleotide long non-coding RNA. RefSeq lists it as uncharacterized. NCBI's taxonomy places the organism in Eukaryota, Metazoa, Mollusca, Gastropoda, Lepetellida, Haliotidae. The record is from RefSeq and is a predicted model, not a curated record. The transcript is spliced from 2 exons.
UCCAUAUUAUGACGUCAGCGCAAAGACAGGUGACAAUGUCAAGGAGGCAUUUGAGACCUUCAUCCGUGAGACCUGGCGGAAUAUACAACCGAAUUCGGACGCGGGAUUUGAGAGAUCUAUCCACAUUGAAGAAACCGAUGGAGAGAACAAAGAAAGGUGUUGUACUAGCUGACGGCGCCGGGAUCACUGUGACCUUCACCUUCAUUCCACACACAACAUCUCACCGGGAACCGUCAUCUGUUGGUGCAGUGGCUUAAAUCAGAGACGCGAUCAGAGACAUUGCACACCUUCGAGCAGGCUCGUCGUGAAACAAACAAUUUUAGAGCAAGUGGACAUCAUGGUGGCAAAUCCACACUGUCUGCACGUGCAGACCCAGUCAAAUUAGCUAGUCUGUUGCGGAUGGUUUACAGUCACAGAACACCAACAGUUGGAACACUAAACUGUCAAAUAUGCAACACCCAUGUGAAGUUAAAAAUACCGGAUCCUGGCUUUACGGAUCUGCUGCAGUGAUGAAUGAGUGAGUUUAGUUUUACGCCGCUUUUAGCAAUUAUCUAGCAAUAUCACGGCGGGAACACCAGAAAAAGGGCUUCACACAUUGUACCCAUAUAGAGAAUCGAACCCAGGUCUUCUGCGUGACGAGCAAACACUUGAACCGCUGCCCCCGCAGCAAUGAAUUUAAAUUAAGAAUCACGUGAUCAGUAACACCUUUGGGAAAUCGAUGUUGCCCUCCAUUACAAACUGACCUAUUAACUGUGUUUGUUUCUUAUUGCUGUUCUUCCUUGGUAAUUUCUCCACCCGAUGUUGGCAAAGUAUCCGCAGUAAUCUUAUACCAGUGAGUCUUAGCUGACAGUCGUCUUAUCAUGUGAUAACGUUUUUGUAUGUAUAGGUUAAAGCCCUAAAUGCCUUUCAUUUGAUAAUAUGUUGCACGAAUGACAUCGUCACGUUUUGCUAUGUCAAUUCGUUAUUACUACAACACAAUAAAGUAUAUACCUUGUCAAACCUC